GCAGCCUCCCGAGCUGCCGGGCGCCCUUUAGACCGAGCUUAGCCAAGCCCGGAUCCCGCAGGAAUUCCCGGCCGGAAGGAAGGGCAGGAGGAAGGAAAAAAAAAAGCCGCGGGGAUCCCGGCGGGGAAGGGGCAGCCAUGGCCCCCAACGGCUCGGUGGGAAUUCGGGAUUCCCCCCCGGAGCCGGGGAUUUUCCUGGAUGAGGAUUUGGGAUCCGACUGGUACAUCUACGAAUCCACCGAGUCCGCGGCCCAGGAUGACCUUUUUCCCGACGCCAUCCCGGAAUGCCACCCCACAAUCUCCCCCCGGCUGUACCACACUAUCAUGGCUCCCAUUUCCGUGAGUAUCCGCCCCAAAAUUCCCCCCAAAAAAUCC
This 374-nucleotide long non-coding RNA is filed under the name Taeniopygia guttata (zebra finch). RNAcentral describes it as "lncRNA (ENSTGUG00000023127.1)". Lineage: Eukaryota; Metazoa; Chordata; Aves; Passeriformes; Estrildidae. The record is from RNAcentral.